Molecule: long non-coding RNA, 557 nt
Organism: Passer domesticus (house sparrow)
Lineage: Eukaryota; Metazoa; Chordata; Aves; Passeriformes; Passeridae
Exons: 4
Source: RefSeq, a predicted model, not a curated record
GUCACUGCCAAGGGGUUAUUGAUGGGCCGCGCAUGGAAAUCCCCUCCCAGCGCCUCCGAACCGCCAAAAACCAGGAAAAACACCCAAAAGAACCUCGAGGGUUUUGAAGGCAAAAAUCGCGCUGGAUUUAUAAAUAUGUGAAGGAAAAAUGGGAGAAAAAAAGAAGUUUUGGGGCCGAUUUUUAAGAAGUUUCUGCUGCUGCUGAGGGAUUUCUCACUCCGUGACCCCCGGAAUUCCCAGAAAAUCUCGGAAAUACGACCAAAAAAGGAGGAAAAAUCAGCUUUUUAUCCCUUAUUUCGCCCCCCGUUUCACUUCCCGCUGUUAAAUCCACAAUUUCCGAUCUCCUCGAGGCGCUAAACAUAAAUAUAAAUACAGGAACCACGAACACAGAGAAAAAUAUUCACACAGAAACCGUCACAGUUUGUGGAUGCGGUGAUGAGCCCAGGUAGCUGCUUAAAUACGAGGAGGAAAAAAGGCGAUUUCGGGCCGAAAAAGCGCUUUUUUUAUGGCAUUUCCGCGAGGAAAAUCUGAUUUUUUCCCACCGGGAAUGGCUGAGG